RNAcentral lists this ribosomal RNA (253 nucleotides) under uncultured bacterium. RNAcentral describes it as "partial 16S ribosomal RNA". It matches the Rfam family "Bacterial small subunit ribosomal RNA", at positions 524 to 776 of the family's 1533-position model. The record is from RNAcentral.
GACAGAGGGUGCAAACGUUGUUCGGAAUUACUGGGCGUAAAGCGCGUGUAGGCGGCCAUGCAAGUCGGAUGUGAAAGCCCUCGGCUCAACCGGGGAAGUGCACCCGAAACUGCAAGGCUAGAGUCUCGGAGAGGAUCGUGGAAUUCUCGGUGUAGAGGUGAAAUUCGUAGAUAUCGAGAGGAACACCGGUGGCGAAGGCGGCGAUCUGGACGGUGACUGACGCUGAGACGCGAAAGCGUGGGGAGCAAACAGG